RNAcentral lists this non-coding RNA (371 nucleotides) under Sclerotinia sclerotiorum. RNAcentral describes it as "group I intron". The stretch from base 20 to 326 matches the Rfam family "Group I catalytic intron". Rfam says of the family: Group I catalytic introns are large self-splicing ribozymes. They catalyse their own excision from mRNA, tRNA and rRNA precursors in a wide range of organisms. Lineage: Eukaryota; Fungi; Ascomycota; Leotiomycetes; Helotiales; Sclerotiniaceae. The record is from RNAcentral.
GCGUAUAGGGGCGAAAGACUAAUCGAAUCAUUAAGGAAUAGACCAAGCUCUAGGUGAUUGAGAAACCCCUUUGGUAUUAGUCCUGGAGACAGGGCGACAUUGUCAAAUUGUUCGGGGACCACCUGUUAAAUUAUAUGCUACUGCAGCAGUGCUGAAAGGCCUGUGAGCACUGAGGGUAACGCCCUCAGGGAUGGUAAUAACGCAUAUAUAGGGUAUAUCCGCAGCGAAGUUCUAAGGCUUCGAGCUAUGAAUCGCGUUCACAGACUAGACGGCAAUGGGCUCCUCGCGGGGCUUAAGAUAUAGUCGAACCCCUCAGAGAUGAGGAUGGAAUCAAUGCUAGUAGCUGGUUCCUGCCGAAGUUUCCCUCAGGA